Molecule: ribosomal RNA, 505 nt
Filed under: uncultured bacterium
Lineage: Bacteria
Description: partial 16S ribosomal RNA
Rfam family: Bacterial small subunit ribosomal RNA
Source: RNAcentral
GACGAACGCUGGCGGCGUGCCUAAUACAUGCAAGUCGAACGCACAGUUUAUACCGUAGCUUGCUACACCAUAGACUGUGAGUUGCGAACGGGUGAGUAACGCGUAGGUAACCUGCCUGGUAGCGGGGGAUAACUAUUGGAAACGAUAGCUAUUACAGCAUAAUAUUAAUUAUUGCAUGAUAAUUAAUUGAAAGGUGCACUUGCACCACUACCAGAUGGACCUGCGUUGUAUUAGCUAGUAGGUGAGGUAACGGCUCACCUAGGCGACGAUACAUAGCCGACCUGAGAGGGUGAUCGGCCACACUGGGACUGAGACACGGCCCAGACUCCUUCGGGGGGCAGCAGGAGGGGAACUUCGGCAAUUGACGAAAGUCUGACCGGGCAACGCCGCGGGAGUGAAGAAGGUUUUCGGAUUGGAAAGCUCUGUUGUAAGAGAAGAACGGGUGGGAUAGUUGAAAGUGCACACUGUGACGGUAUCUUACCAGAAAGGGACGGCUAACUACGUG